GUGUCAGCCGCCGCGGUAAUACGGAGGGUGCGAGCGUUAAUCGGAAUUACUGGGCGUAAAGGGCACGCAGGCGGUUAAUUAAGUUGGAUGUGAAAUCCCCGGGCUUAACCUGGGAAUGGCAUUCAAGACUGGUUAGCUAGAGUCUUGUAGAGGGGGGUAGAAUUCCAUGUGUAGCGGUGAAAUGCGUAGAGAUGUGGAGGAAUACCGGUGGCGAAGGCGGCCCCCUGGACAGAGACUGACGCUCAUGUGCGAAAGCGUGGGGAGCAAACAGGAUUAGAUACCCUGGUAGUCCACGCUGUAAACGAUGUCGAUUUGGAGGUUGUGGUCAUGAACUGUGGCCUCCGGAGCUAACGCGUUAAAUCGACCGCCUGGGGAGUACGGCCGCAAGGUUAAAACUCAAAUAAAUUGACGG
Molecule: ribosomal RNA, 412 nt
Filed under: uncultured bacterium
Lineage: Bacteria
Description: bacterial SSU rRNA
Rfam family: Bacterial small subunit ribosomal RNA
Source: RNAcentral